This 753-nucleotide long non-coding RNA is filed under the name Cyanistes caeruleus (blue tit). RNAcentral's name for it is "lncRNA (ENSCCEG00000011312.1)". The record is from RNAcentral. Lineage: Eukaryota; Metazoa; Chordata; Aves; Passeriformes; Paridae.
GGAAGGUGAUCUAAGCAGAAAAGGACUGGGUCAGCCAUUGCUAAUAUCUGUAGCACUUAAGAUGCAUGAGUUAGGUAUGGGUGUGCCUUUCCUAAGAGGGAUAGAAUUAACUGAAUUUUACUAAAGGAGAAGUUCUCAGAGCAGCUGAUCACUCAAAAACUGGUACUAUAGGUGUUUCCAGUAAAGAGGCAUAUGCUUGACCUUCCAGUCAGUGUAAUUGAAGAGUGCUCCACUGACCCAAAUCAGCUUCCCAGUGCUGAGCUGAAAAUGAAUAUACUGCCAAAAAUCUGGUAAAGUGCUACUAGAAAUGAAACAAAUGACAGCACAAGCUCACACACAUAUUUUACUACUGAUGGACCCAAGGCACUAUGACAGCCUUCAGAUGUUUAUCCUGAUGAUUCAAGGAGCACAAACAUUCAGACCUCAGAUUUUAUUUCAGCUUGUUCUAAAGAUGGGGAUUAGCCAGCCAAACCAUUAAUUGAAACAAAGAUAGAUGGCAAAUCACUGCUGAAAUCCUCCUUCAUGUCACUGGAAAUUUAUAGCGCUCUUCACAAACUCCUUUGGAAGAGGACAGAGUUAUAACCUGACUGAGCUGCUCCCAGCACUUGGUUGUUGCCAUUUGUUUCUUUGCAAUGCUUCUUUGCAACUGAUAUACUCCUUUAUUUCCUGACUGGAAAGGCAAGAGAUUGGUGUUUAUUACACAUUAUUUAUGUAGCAUCUCUUUAAAAAAUAAAAAUUAAAAAACAAAAUGCA